GACAGAGGGGGCAAGCGUUGUUCGGAAUUACUGGGCGUAAAGGGCGCGUAGGCGGCCUGUUAAGUCGAACGUGAAAUCCCCGGGCUCAACCCGGGAACUGCGUCCGAUACUGGCAGGCUUGAAUCCGGGAGAGGGAUGCGGAAUUCCAGGUGUAGCGGUGAAAUGCGUAGAUAUCUGGAGGAACACCGGUGGCGAAGGCGGCAUCCUGGACCGGCAUUGACGCUGAGGCGCGAAAGCCAGGGGAGCAAACGGG
Molecule: ribosomal RNA, 253 nt
Filed under: uncultured bacterium
Lineage: Bacteria
Description: partial 16S ribosomal RNA
Rfam family: Bacterial small subunit ribosomal RNA
Source: RNAcentral